GACGAACCGUCCAAACGUUGUUCGGAAUCACUGGGCUUAAAGGGCGCGUAGGCGGGUCUCCAAGUCGGUGGUGAAAUCUUUCGGCUCAACCGGAAAAUAGCCGCCGAUACUGGGGGUCUCGAGGGAGGUAGGGUCGAUGGAACUUCCGGUGGAGCGGUGAAAUGCGUAGAUAUCGGAAGGAACGCCGGUGGCGAAAGCGAU
This 201-nucleotide ribosomal RNA is filed under the name uncultured bacterium. Its description in RNAcentral is "partial 16S ribosomal RNA". It matches the Rfam family "Bacterial small subunit ribosomal RNA", at positions 524 to 725 of the family's 1533-position model. The record is from RNAcentral.